This 433-nucleotide ribosomal RNA is filed under the name uncultured bacterium. RNAcentral describes it as "partial 16S ribosomal RNA". It matches the Rfam family "Bacterial small subunit ribosomal RNA", at positions 29 to 507 of the family's 1533-position model. The record is from RNAcentral.
AACGAACGCUGGCGGCAGGCCUAACACAUGCAAGUCGAGCGAGGACUUCGGUCCUAGCGGCGGACGGGUGAGUAACGCGUGGGAACGUGCCCUUUGCUUCGGAAUAGCCCUGGGAAACUGGGAGUAAUACCGGAUGAGCCCUUUGGGGGAAAGAUUUAUCGGCGAAGGAUCGGCCCGCGUUGGAUUAGGUAGUUGGUGGGGUAAUGGCCUACCAAGGCGACGAUCCAUAGCUGGUUUGAGAGGAUGAUCAGCCACACUGGGACUGAGACACGGCCCAGACUCCUACGGGAGGCAGCAGUGGGGAAUAUUAGACAAUGGGGGAAACCCUGAUCUAGCCAUGCCGCGUGAGCGAUGAAGGCCUUAGGGUUGUAAAGCUCUUUCAGCUGGGAAGAUAAUGACGGUACCAGCAGAAGAAGCCCCGGCUAACUCCGUG